Molecule: ribosomal RNA, 440 nt
Filed under: uncultured bacterium
Lineage: Bacteria
Description: partial 16S ribosomal RNA
Rfam family: Bacterial small subunit ribosomal RNA
Source: RNAcentral
CCUACGGGUGGCAGCAGUAGGGAAUAUUGCUCAAUGGAGGCAACUCUGACCCAGCAACGCCGCGUGGAGGAUGACGGUUUUAGGAUUGUAAACUUCUUUUGUGAGGGAUGAUAACGAUGAUAUUUCCCGAAUAACCACCGGCUACUUCCGUGCCAGCAGCCGCGGCAAUAAGGAGGGUGCAGGAGUUGCUCGGAAGGACUGGGCGUAAUGAGUGCGCAGGCGGUCUUGUAAGUCAGAGGUGAAAUCCUGUAGCUUAACUACGGAACUGCCGUUGAAACUAUGGGUCUAGAGGGUAGGAGAGGUAGGUGGAAUUCGUGGUGUAGCGGUAGAAUCCGUAGAUAUCAUGAGGAACACUCAUUGCGAAGGCGACCUACUGGAAUAUAACUGACGCUGAGGCACGAAAGCGUGGGGAGCAAACAGGAUUAGAUACCCCAGUAGUC